This 497-nucleotide ribosomal RNA is filed under the name uncultured bacterium. RNAcentral describes it as "partial 16S ribosomal RNA". It matches the Rfam family "Bacterial small subunit ribosomal RNA", at positions 28 to 507 of the family's 1533-position model. The record is from RNAcentral.
GAUGAACGCUGGCGGCGUGCCUAAUACAUGCAAGUCGAGCGAACAGACGAGGAGCUUGCUCCUCUGACGUUAGCGGCGCACGGGUGAGUCACACGUGUAUAACCUACCUAUAAGACUGGGAUAACUUCGGGACACCGGCUCUAAUCCCGGAUAAUAUAUUGAACCGUAUUGUUCGAUAGUGAAAUACGGUUUUUCUGUCUCUUCUAGCUGCUUCCGCGCCGCAUUAGCUAGUUGGUAAGGUAACGGCUUACCAAGGCAACGAUGCGUAGCCGACCGGAGAGGGGGAUAGGCCGCCCUAGAACGGAGACGCGGUCCAGACGCCUGAGGGAGGCAGCAGUAUGGUAUCGUCUGCAAUGGGCGAAAGCUUGACGGAGUAACGCCGCGUGAGAGAUGAAGGUCUUGCGAUCGUAAUACUCUGUUAUUAGGGAAGAACAAAUGUGGAAGUAACUAUGCACGUCUUGACGGUACCUAGUCAGAAAGCCACGGCUAACUACGUG